Molecule: long non-coding RNA, 331 nt
Filed under: Carica papaya (papaya)
Lineage: Eukaryota; Viridiplantae; Streptophyta; Magnoliopsida; Brassicales; Caricaceae
Description: long non-coding RNA (CPAP_LNC001488)
Source: RNAcentral
AGGUACCAGUAGUGCGUUUCAGUUCCCCGAGAAAAAUUUAGGGAAAAUUAGGGACAGCCUGUAGGCGCACUGUGAAGCCGUGUUCGGACCCCGAAACGUGUAAGGACCCCUCACCCUAUUUCCUAUCACGGUUUUAAAGUUCAAUAAAUAAUAAAACGGUAUUUCAUGAAUCAACGAAUGUGUGAAAUUGCUUAAGGUCGCUAAUGGAGCCCGAGUCUAGUGUAUUUGUCGGUUAACUGUUAUUUGGCCUGUUUUACAGUUUUAAAUGCAGCAUGAGGUUAGAUGUUUUCAUUUUAUAGUUUCGUGUGCAUAUUUUACUGUUUUAUUGAUU